This 988-nucleotide ribosomal RNA is filed under the name Bacillus amyloliquefaciens. RNAcentral's name for it is "bacterial SSU rRNA". It matches the Rfam family "Bacterial small subunit ribosomal RNA", at positions 90 to 1061 of the family's 1533-position model. The record is from RNAcentral. Lineage: Bacteria; Bacillati; Bacillota; Bacilli; Caryophanales; Bacillaceae.
UGUUAGCGGCGGACGGGUGAGUAACACGUGGGUAACCUGCCUGUAAGACUGGGAUAACUCCGGGAAACCGGGGCUAAUACCGGAUGGUUGUCUGAACCGCAUGGUUCAGACAUAAAAGGUGGCUUCGGCUACCACUUACAGAUGGACCCGCGGCGCAUUAGCUAGUUGGUGAGGUAACGGCUCACCAAGGCGACGAUGCGUAGCCGACCUGAGAGGGUGAUCGGCCACACUGGGACUGAGACACGGCCCAGACUCCUACGGGAGGCAGCAGUAGGGAAUCUUCCGCAAUGGACGAAAGUCUGACGGAGCAACGCCGCGUGAGUGAUGAAGGUUUUCGGAUCGUAAAGCUCUGUUGUUAGGGAAGAACAAGUGCCGUUCAAAUAGGGCGGCACCUUGACGGUACCUAACCAGAAAGCCACGGCUAACUACGUGCCAGCAGCCGCGGUAAUACGUAGGUGGCAAGCGUUGUCCGGAAUUAUUGGGCGUAAAGGGCUCGCAGGCGGUUUCUUAAGUCUGAUGUGAAAGCCCCCGGCUCAACCGGGGAGGGUCAUUGGAAACUGGGGAACUUGAGUGCAGAAGAGGAGAGUGGAAUUCCACGUGUAGCGGUGAAAUGCGUAGAGAUGUGGAGGAACACCAGUGGCGAAGGCGACUCUCUGGUCUGUAACUGACGCUGAGGAGCGAAAGCGUGGGGAGCGAACAGGAUUAGAUACCCUGGUAGUCCACGCCGUAAACGAUGAGUGCUAAGUGUUAGGGGGUUUCCGCCCCUUAGUGCUGCAGCUAACGCAUUAAGCACUCCGCCUGGGGAGUACGGUCGCAAGACUGAAACUCAAAGGAAUUGGAAGGGAGCCCGCACAAGCGGUGGAGCACGUGGUUUAAUUCGAAGCAACGCGCAGAACCUUACCAGGUCUUGACAUCCUCUGACAAUCCUAGAGAUAGGACGUCCCCUUCCGCGGCAGAGUGACACGUCGUGCAUGGUUGUCGUCAUCUC